RNAcentral lists this ribosomal RNA (857 nucleotides) under uncultured bacterium. Its description in RNAcentral is "bacterial SSU rRNA". It matches the Rfam family "Bacterial small subunit ribosomal RNA", at positions 62 to 926 of the family's 1533-position model. The record is from RNAcentral.
UCGAACGAGGUGCUUUUUGUAGCAAUACGAGGAGUAUCCUAGUGGCGAACGGGUGAGUAACGCGUGGGUGACCUACCCCAAAGUGUGGAAUAACAGUCCGAAAGGAUUGCUAAUGCCGCAUGUGGUCUGCGAGUUUAGAAAUCGUUGACUAAAGGAGCAAUUCGCUUUGGGAGGGACCUGCGUCCCAUCAGCUAGUUGGUGAGGUAACGGCUCACCAAGGCUACGACGGGUAGGGGACCUGAGAGGGUGGCCCCCCACAAUGGAACUGAAACACGGUCCAUACACCUACGGGUGGCAGCAGUAGGGAAUAUUGCACAAUGGGCGAAAGCCUGAUGCAGCAACGCCGCGUGCGCGAUGAAGGUCUUCGGAUCGUAAAGCGCUUUUCUGAGAGAUGAGGAAGGACAGUAUCUCAGGAAUAAGUCUCGGCUAACUACGUGCCAGCAGCCGCGGUAAAACGUAGGAGGCGAGCGUUAUCCGGAUUCACUGGGCGUAAAGCGCGUGCAGGUGGUUCGGUAAGUUGGGCGUGAAAUCUCCCGGCUCAACUGGGAGAGGUCGUUCAAUACUACCGUACUUGAGAGCAGAAGAGGAAGAUGGAAUUCCCGGUGUAGUGGUGAAAUGCGUAGAUAUCGGGAGGAACACCAGUGGCGAAGGCGAUCUUCUGGUCUGUUUCUGACACUCAGACGCGACAGCUAGGGUAGUAAACGGGAUUAGAGACCCCGGUAAUCCUAGCCGUAAACGAUGUGAACUUGGCGUUGGUGGGUUAAACUCCAUCAGUGCCGAAGCAAACGCGAUAAGUUCACCGCCUGGGGACUACGGCCGCAAGGUUAAAACUCAAAGGAAUUGACGGGGGCCCGCAC